AGUGAACGCUUUCUUUCUUCCUAACACAUGCAAGUCGAACGGCAGCACAGUAAGAGCUUGCUCUUACGGGUGGCGAGUGGCGGACGGGUGAGGAAUACAUCGGAAUCUACUUUUUCGUGGGGGAUAACGUAGGGAAACUUACGCUAAUACCGCAUACGACCUACGGGUGAAAGCAGGGGAUCUUCGGACCUUGCGCGAUUGAAUGAGCCGAUGUCGGAUUAGCUAGUUGGCGGGGUAAAGGCCCACCAAGGCGACGAUCCGUAGCUGGUCUGAGAGGAUGAGAAGCCACACUGGAACUGAGACACGGUCCAGACUCCUACGGGAGGCAGCAGUGGGGAAUAUUGGACAAUGGGCGCAAGCCUGAUCCAGCCAUACCGCGUGGGUGAAGAAGGCCUUCGGGUUGUAAAGCCCUUUUGUUGGGAAAGAAAAGCAGCAGGUUAAUACCCCGCUGUUCUGACGGUACCCAAAGAAUAAGCACCGGCUAACUUCGUG
Molecule: ribosomal RNA, 492 nt
Filed under: uncultured bacterium
Lineage: Bacteria
Description: partial 16S ribosomal RNA
Rfam family: Bacterial small subunit ribosomal RNA
Source: RNAcentral